RNAcentral lists this ribosomal RNA (492 nucleotides) under uncultured bacterium. Its description in RNAcentral is "partial 16S ribosomal RNA". It matches the Rfam family "Bacterial small subunit ribosomal RNA", at positions 29 to 507 of the family's 1533-position model. The record is from RNAcentral.
AGUGAACGCUGGCGGUAGGCCUAACACAUGCAAGUCGAACGGCAGCACAGUAAGAGCUUGCUCUUACGGGUGGCGAGUGGCGGACGGGUGAGGAAUACAUCGGAAUCUACUUUUUCGUGGGGGAUAACGUAGGGAAACCUACGCUAAUACCGCAUACGACCUACGGGUGAAAGCAGGGGAUCUUCGGACCUUGCGCGAUUGAAUGAGCCGAUGUCGGAUUAGCUAGUUGGCGGGGUAAAGGCCCACCAAGGCGACGAUCCGUAGCUGGUCUGAGAGGAUGAUCAGCCACACUGGAACUGAGACACGGUCCAGACUCCUACAGGAGGCAGCAGUGGGGAAUAUUGGACAAUGGGCGCAAGCCUGAUCCAGCCAUACCGCGUGGGUGAAGAAGGCCUUCGGGUUGUAAAGCCCUUUUGUUGGGAAAGAAAAGCAGCAGGUUAAUACCCCGCUGUUCUGACGGUACCCAAAGAAUAAGCACCGGCUAACUUCGUG